AAAAAACUGAGACUUUCAGAGAUUAACUUGCCAAAGUUCAAUGGCUAGUGAGUAGCCACAUCAAGAUUUGAACCAGAUCUAGAUCUCACGCUUCAUGCUUUGACUAUCUCUACCACCUGUAGGAGAGACAGCACAAGAGGAUGAGAAAAUUGAAGCUCCAAAUUAGUUUGUGCAAGAUCACAAACUAUUAAGAGGCAGAACCCAUUUGCAGACUGCGUCUUGAGAUCCCACGCAGAACCUCGCAGCUGAGUGUCCACUGUGGAUAAGAUCACCUAGAAGCAAACUAGCACUCAGCUGAGCCCAUCCAGGGCCACCUACUGACCCUCCCCUACCAGUCCUGCCUCUCACCCCCCUACUCUCUCCCCCAGCGGAACAAGUCUGUCUUUUGUUCCAGGGGCAUGUUUCUGCCCUCCAUACACUUGUGG
Molecule: long non-coding RNA, 425 nt
Filed under: Homo sapiens (human)
Lineage: Eukaryota; Metazoa; Chordata; Mammalia; Primates; Hominidae
Description: HSALNT0119989
Source: RNAcentral